Molecule: ribosomal RNA, 321 nt
Filed under: Triticum aestivum (bread wheat)
Lineage: Eukaryota; Viridiplantae; Streptophyta; Magnoliopsida; Poales; Poaceae
Description: partial small subunit ribosomal RNA
Source: RNAcentral
UUUACUCGGACAGUUUGGGUCAUGGUUCAAGUAGUUUCGAAUUUAUACACAUCACGUAGUGCACGGAAUAUAUUCGGCAACUGGUUGCGGGGUAUUUAUAAAUAAUUUUCUACACAUAUUUUUGUGGGAGCGGCGGCUUUAUGCUGGGCAAUGUGGCUCACCAGGAAUGAUGUGGUUUUUAAUUAUAAAUGUGUCCCAUCUCCUAUGCAGGUUAUUCAUAUUUGUACACGAUGGCUCCGUACAUGGUCUAUCCUGCAGAAGCCGAAAGACAGGGACCUUUUUAUGAUGACGUCUACAUGGCUGGAGCGUACGGCCAGGUAG